UAGCCAGACUCCUACGGGAGGCAGCAGUGGGGAAUAUUGCACAAUGGGCGAAAGCCUGAUGCAGCAACGCCGCGUGAGCGAUGAAGGCCUUCGGGUCGUAAAGCUCUGUCCUCAAGGAAGAUAAUGACGGUACUUGAGGUGGAAGCCCCGGCUAACUCCGUGCCAGCAGCCGCGGUAAUACGGGGGAUGCAAGCGUUGUCCGGAAUCAUUGGGCGUAAAGAGUUCGUAGGUGGCACGUUAAGUCUGGUGUUAAAUGCAGAGGCUCAACCUCUGUUCGGCACUGGAUACUGGCGAGCUUGAAUGCGGUAGAGGUAAAGGGAAUUCCUGGUGUAGCGGUGAAAUGCGUAGAUAUCAGGAGGAACAUCGGUGGCGUAAGCGCUUUACUGGGCCGUAAUUGACACUGAGGAACGAAAGCCAGGGUAGCAAAUGGGAUUAGAUACCCUGGUA
This 447-nucleotide ribosomal RNA is filed under the name uncultured bacterium. RNAcentral's name for it is "partial 16S ribosomal RNA". It matches the Rfam family "Bacterial small subunit ribosomal RNA", at positions 328 to 792 of the family's 1533-position model. The record is from RNAcentral.